UGGUGGUGGGGAAGGAGAAAAGGUUAACAUUCUCUUUAAUAAGAAUGGAAAGGAUCCUAGUGAUCAUGACAACGUAUGUGCAGUCGAGGCAUUCUUUGUUACAAAGGAGGAUUCUAUAGGGGAUGAU
Trichosurus vulpecula (common brushtail) is the source of this 127-nucleotide small nuclear RNA. The record is from RefSeq and is a predicted model, not a curated record. NCBI's taxonomy places the organism in Eukaryota, Metazoa, Chordata, Mammalia, Diprotodontia, Phalangeridae.